GGGUUGUGAGGUUAAGCGACUAAGCGUACACGGUGGAUGCCCUGGCAGUCAGAGGCGAUGAAGGACGUGCUAAUCUGCGAUAAGCGUCGGUAAGGUGAUAUGAACCGUUAUAACCGGCGAUUUCCGAAUGGGGAAACCCAGUGUGUUUCGACACACUAUCAUUAACUGAAUCCAUAGGUUAAUGAGGCGAACCGGGGGAACUGAAACAUCUAAGUACCCCGAGGAAAAGAAAUCAACCGAGAUUCCCCCAGUAGCGGCGAGCGAACGGGGAGGAGCCCAGAGCCUGAAUCAGUGUGUGUGUUAGUGGAAGCGUCUGGAAAGGCGCGCGAUACAGGGUGACAGCCCCGUACACAAAAAUGCACAUGCUGUGAGCUCGAUGAGUAGGGCGGGACACGUGGUAUCCUGUCUGAAUAUGGGGGGACCAUCCUCCAAGGCUAAAUACUCCUGACUGACCGAUAGUGAACCAGUACCGUGAGGGAAAGGCGAAAAGAACCCCGGCGAGGGGAGUGAAAAAGAACCUGAAACCGUGUACGUACAAGCAGUGGGAGCACGCUUAGGCGUGUGACUGCGUACCUUUUGUAUAAUGGGUCAGCGACUUAUAUUCUGUAGCAAGGUUAACCGAAUAGGGGAGCCGAAGGGAAACCGAGUCUUAACUGGGCGUUAAGUUGCAGGGUAUAGACCCGAAACCCGGUGAUCUAGCCAUGGGCAGGUUGAAGGUUGGGUAACACUAACUGGAGGACCGAACCGACUAAUGUUGAAAAAUUAGCGGAUGACUUGUGGCUGGGGGUGAAAGGCCAAUCAAACCGGGAGAUAGCUGGUUCUCCCCGAAAGCUAUUUAGGUAGCGCCUCGUGAAUUCAUCUCCGGGGGUAGAGCACUGUUUCGGCAAGGGGGUCAUCCCGACUUACCAACCCGAUGCAAACUGCGAAUACCGGAGAAUGUUAUCACGGGAGACACACGGCGGGUGCUAACGUCCGUCGUGAAGAGGGAAACAACCCAGACCGCCAGCUAAGGUCCCAAAGUCAUGGUUAAGUGGGAAACGAUGUGGGAAGGCCCAGACAGCCAGGAUGUUGGCUUAGAAGCAGCCAUCAUUUAAAGAAAGCGUAAUAGCUCACUGGUCGAGUCGGCCUGCGCGGAAGAUGUAACGGGGCUAAACCAUGCACCGAAGCUGCGGCAGCGACGCUGAUGCGUUGUUGGGUAGGGGAGCGUUCUGUAAGCCUGUGAAGGUGUGCUGUGAGGCAUGCUGGAGGUAUCAGAAGUGCGAAUGCUGACAUAAGUAACGAUAAAGCGGGUGAAAAGCCCGCUCGCCGGAAGACCAAGGGUUCCUGUCCAACGUUAAUCGGGGCAGGGUGAGUCGACCCCUAAGGCGAGGCCGAAAGGCGUAGUCGAUGGGAAACAGGUUAAUAUUCCUGUACUUGGUGUUACUGCGAAGGGGGGACGGAGAAGGCUAUGUUGGCCGGGCGACGGUUGUCCCGGUUUAAGCGUGUAGGCUGGUUUUCCAGGCAAAUCCGGAAAAUCAAGGCUGAGGCGUGAUGACGAGGCACUACGGUGCUGAAGCAACAAAUGCCCUGCUUCCAGGAAAAGCCUCUAAGCAUCAGGUAACAUCAAAUCGUACCCCAAACCGACACAGGUGGUCAGGUAGAGAAUACCAAGGCGCUUGAGAGAACUCGGGUGAAGGAACUAGGCAAAAUGGUGCCGUAACUUCGGGAGAAGGCACGCUGAUAUGUAGGUGAAGUCCCUCGCGGAUGGAGCUGAAAUCAGUCGAAGAUACCAGCUGGCUGCAACUGUUUAUUAAAAACACAGCACUGUGCAAACACGAAAGUGGACGUAUACGGUGUGACGCCUGCCCGGUGCCGGAAGGUUAAUUGAUGGGGUCAGCGCAAGCGAAGCUCUUGAUCGAAGCCCCGGUAAACGGCGGCCGUAACUAUAACGGUCCUAAGGUAGCGAAAUUCCUUGUCGGGUAAGUUCCGACCUGCACGAAUGGCGUAAUGAUGGCCAGGCUGUCUCCACCCGAGACUCAGUGAAAUUGAACUCGCUGUGAAGAUGCAGUGUACCCGCGGCAAGACGGAAAGACCCCGUGAACCUUUACUAUAGCUUGACACUGAACAUUGAGCCUUGAUGUGUAGGAUAGGUGGGAGGCUUAGAAGUGUGGACGCCAGUCUGCAUGGAGCCGACCUUGAAAUACCACCCUUUAAUGUUUGAUGUUCUAACGUUGACCCGUAAUCCGGGUUGCGGACAGUGUCUGGUGGGUAGUUUGACUGGGGCGGUCUCCUCCUAAAGAGUAACGGAGGAGCACGAAGGUUGGCUAAUCCUGGUCGGACAUCAGGAGGUUAGUGCAAUGGCAUAAGCCAGCUUGACUGCGAGCGUGACGGCGCGAGCAGGUGCGAAAGCAGGUCAUAGUGAUCCGGUGGUUCUGAAUGGAAGGGCCAUCGCUCAACGGAUAAAAGGUACUCCGGGGAUAACAGGCUGAUACCGCCCAAGAGUUCAUAUCGACGGCGGUGUUUGGCACCUCGAUGUCGGCUCAUCACAUCCUGGGGCUGAAGUAGGUCCCAAGGGUAUGGCUGUUCGCCAUUUAAAGUGGUACGCGAGCUGGGUUUAGAACGUCGUGAGACAGUUCGGUCCCUAUCUGCCGUGGGCGCUGGAGAACUGAGGGGGGCUGCUCCUAGUACGAGAGGACCGGAGUGGACGCAUCACUGGUGUUCGGGUUGUCAUGCCAAUGGCACUGCCCGGUAGCUAAAUGCGGAAGAGAUAAGUGCUGAAAGCAUCUAAGCACGAAACUUGCCCCGAGAUGAGUUCUCCCUGACUCCUUGAGAGUCCUGAAGGAACGUUGAAGACGACGACGUUGAUAGGCCGGGUGUGUAAGCGCAGCGAUGCGUUGAGCUAACCGGUACUAAUGAACCGUGAGGCUUAACCUUACAACGCCGAAGCUGUU
This 2930-nucleotide ribosomal RNA is filed under the name Escherichia coli. Its description in RNAcentral is "23S ribosomal RNA". It matches the Rfam family "Bacterial large subunit ribosomal RNA". Lineage: Bacteria; Pseudomonadati; Pseudomonadota; Gammaproteobacteria; Enterobacterales; Enterobacteriaceae. The record is from RNAcentral.